GACGAACGCUGGCGGCGUGCUUAACACAUGCAAGUCGAACGGAAAGGCCUCUUUCGGGGGGUACUCGAGUGGCGAACGGGUGAGUAACACGUGAGUAACCUGCCCUUGACUUUGGGUUAGCUUCAGGAAACUGGGGCUAAUACCGGAUAGGAGCUCCUGCUGCAUGGUGGGGGUUGGAAAGUUUCGGCGGUUGGGGAUGGACUCGCGGCUUAUCAGCUUGUUGGUGGGGUAGUGGCUUACCAAGGCUUUGACGGGUAGCCGGCCUGAGAGGGUGACCGGCCACAUUGGGACUGAGAUACGGCCCAGACUCCUACGGGGGGCAGCAGUGGGGAAUAUUGCACAAUGGGUGGAAGCCUGAUGCAGCAACGCCGUGUGCGGGAUGACGGCCUUCGGGUUGUAAACCGCUUUCGCUCAUGACGAAGCUUUGUGUGACGGUAGUGGGUAAAGAAGCACCGGCUAACUACGUG
RNAcentral lists this ribosomal RNA (467 nucleotides) under uncultured bacterium. RNAcentral describes it as "partial 16S ribosomal RNA". It matches the Rfam family "Bacterial small subunit ribosomal RNA", at positions 28 to 507 of the family's 1533-position model. The record is from RNAcentral.